RNAcentral lists this ribosomal RNA (1459 nucleotides) under metagenome. RNAcentral describes it as "bacterial LSU rRNA". It matches the Rfam family "Bacterial large subunit ribosomal RNA", at positions 1278 to 2865 of the family's 2925-position model. The record is from RNAcentral.
AAGAUCAGAAGCGAGAAUGUUGACAUGAGUAGCGACAAACAGGGUGAGAAACCCUGUCGCCGAAAGUCCAAGGGUUCCUGCUUAAAGCUAAUCUGAGCAGGGUAAGCCGGCCCCUAAGGCGAGGCCGAAAGGCGUAGUCGAUGGGAACCAGGUUAAUAUUCCUGGGCCAGGAGGAUGUGACGGAUCUCGAGGAUUGUCUGCCCUUAUCGGAUUGGGUGGGCCGUUUAGAGGUUCCUGGAAAUAGCCCUCCAUCAGACCGUACCCUAAACCGACACAGGUGGACUGGUAGAGUAUACCAAGGCGCUUGAGAGAACCACGUUAAAGGAACUCGGCAAAAUGCUCCCGUAAGUUCGCGAGAAGGGAGCCCCGUCUGUACGCAAGUAUGGGCGGGGGGCACAAACUAGGGGGUGGCGACUGUUUACUUAAAACACAGGGCUGUGCGAAGCCGUAAGGCGACGUAUACAGUCUGACGCCUGCCCGGUGCUGGAAGAUUAAGAGGAGGGGUGCAAGCUCUGAAUUGAAGUCCCAGUAAACGGCGGCCGUAACGAUAACGGUCCUAAGGUAGCGAAAUUCCUUGUCGGGUAAGUUCCGACCUGCACGAAUGGCGUAACGAUCUCCCCGCUGUCUCUAACGUGGACUCAGCGAAAUUGAACUGUGUGUCAAGAUGCACACUACCCGCGGUUAGACGGAAAGACCCCAUGAACCUUUACUCCAGCUUUGCACUGGUAUCAGGAUUGUGAUGUGCAGGAUAGGUGGUAGGCAUCGAAGCGGGGACGCCAGUUCCCGUGGAGCCUCCCUUGAGAUACCACCCUUCGCCAUCUUGAUAUCUAACCGCGGCCCGUUAUCCGGGUCCGGGACCCUGCAUGGUGGGGAGUUUGACUGGGGCGGUCGCCUCCCAGACAGUAACGGAGGCGCGCGAUGGUUGGCUCAGACCGGUCGGAAAUCGGUCGUUGAGUGCAAUGGCAGAAGCCAGCCUGACUGCAAGACUGACGAGUCGAGCAGAGACGAAAGUCGGUCAUAGUGAUCCGGUGGUCCCAAGUGGGAGGGCCAUCGCUCAACGGAUAAAAGGUACUCUGGGGAUAACAGGCUGAUGAUGCCCAAGAGUCUAUAUCGACGGCAUCGUUUGGCACCUCGAUGUCGGCUCAUCUCAUCCUGGGGCUGGAGCAGGUCCCAAGGGUAUGGCUGUUCGCCAUUUAAAGAGGUACGUGAGCUGGGUUUAGAACGUCGUGAGACAGUUCGGUCCCUAUCUGCCGUGGGUGCAGGAGACUUGAGAAGAGUUGACCCUAGUACGAGAGGACCGGGUUGAACGAACCACUGGUGGACCAGUUAUCGUGCCAACGGUAGUGCUGGGUAGCUAUGUUCGGACAGGAUAACCGCUGAAGGCAUCUAAGCGGGAAGCCCCCUUCAAAACAAGGUCUCCCUUGAGGGCCGUGGAAGACCACCACGUCGAUAGGCCAGA